RNAcentral lists this ribosomal RNA (459 nucleotides) under uncultured bacterium. RNAcentral describes it as "partial 16S ribosomal RNA". It matches the Rfam family "Bacterial small subunit ribosomal RNA", at positions 338 to 795 of the family's 1533-position model. The record is from RNAcentral.
CCUACGGGCGGCAGCAGUGAGGAAUAUUGGUCAAUGGGCGAGAGCCUGAACCAGCCAAGUCGCGUGAGGGAGUACUGCCCUAUGGGUUGUAAACCUCUUUUGUCGGGGAGCAAAAGCCGGACGUGUCCGGCUGUGAGAGUACCCGAAGAAAAAGCAUCGGCUAACUCCGUGCCAGCAGCCGCGGUAAUACGGAGGGUGCGAGCGUUAAUCGGAAUUACUGGGCGUAAAGCGCUCGUAGGCGGUAUGUCAAGUCAAGGGUGAAAUCCCCGCGCUCAACGUGGGAACUGCCUUUGAAACUGGCAAACUGGAGUGUGUGAGAGGAUAGUGGAAUUCCAGGUGUAGCGGUGAAAUGCGUAGAUAUCAGGAGGAACACCGGUGGCGAAGGCGGCCUGCUGGACUGCAACUGACGUUGAGGCCCGAAAGCGUGGGGAGCAAACAGGAUUAGAUACCCCAGUAGUC